GGGCUUGGGAUAUGGCCCAAUGGGUACAGGUUUGCUAUGUGAACAUGAAUAUGGGUUUGGAUUCCCAGCGCACACAUUUUUAAAAAGCACUAAUUUUGACCAUCUGCAAAAGUUUUCACCAUCGAAGAUGCUCAACCACCAAGGAAACGGAGCCCAGAAUAACAGUACAUUAUCAACCUGCUCAACAAGAGGGAAACCAUGCCUGGUACUGGAAACCUAGCCAACUGCUAGCGAAGUCAUGGAUCUUGGAGGAGAACCUACAACUACCACUUUACUAAGCCAGCAUCAUCCCUGACUACAUUCUAACCUUGGUCUGUAUACCAACAGCUGAGAACUUCCCAGAAGAUGCUCUGGCUGCCUCUCUGUCCAUUUCUCCCAACGUGACCAUCACGGUGAGAAGAUCGCCUAUUACCCUGUCCCCUGGCUUAGGCUACCCUGCUGGUGAUGCAUAGGCUCAUCAGGAAAAGUGGCUGUGACCUGUGAGCUGCACACAAUGUUGGCUCCCUGCCAACUCAGCAGAAGACAGAGGACCAGAGACAUGUCUGGAAGGUUUUUGUCCUGAUCGCUCUUCUCCCAAACUCGAGGCUUAGCCAGAGUCCAAGCUGCCCAGUGUGCCUGGAAUGGCCUUUGUUGUCUCCCAAGAUGGCAGACUGGAGAAGUUGGUGUUGGGUGCUUCCAGCUCUGGGUACCAUAAAGAAACAGGAAGCAAUCCCAUGAGGGAGAACACACAGACAAGAUCCUGCAGAUUCCAAGCAUGCUGCACCAGUGCUCGGUGGGGAGCAGCCCCUGAGCUCCUGCAGGGCUCCUAAAUGUCCACCAUUUAAAGCAGCGGCAAAUGAAUGUGGUUCUGUCUCCAAAAAUAGUCUUAAGAGAGUCUAAAAUCGCCUUCUAGCCUAAGCCGGACCAGUCCCUCGGGAAUGAUGUCGCUAUUUCUAAAACAUCCCUGCUUUCCCAGCACGCCUUUGUCAGAUCCCAACUUCCAUCUGGGCUCUCCCAGUCAGUCAUUCCCCUCCUGCCUGGUCCCUCUCUACCCUGCAUUGCCUGAGCUAUCUCUCAAGCAGGAAAUUCUCAAAUUGUGCCUUCCUCUUGAUGUUACUAAGUUUGAGACCUUUUAAUCUGGCACGUGGCUUAGGAGAGCAGAAACAGUUCCCUUGGAAGCUCCUAGAAAUUUGGAGGUACAGAGAGGAGGAUAAGGAGUUCAAGGCCAGCCUUGGCUACAUAGAGAAUCUGAGCCCAGCCUGGGCUCUAUGAGACUCUUAAUAAAAAUGAUAAUGAUGGUGAAGAUGACCAUGGUAAUGGUAACAAUAAUGACAACAAUGAAACAAAUCUUUUAAAAAAAUAAAUGGUUCCUUGGAGAAGUGACCUGUAAUGCAGUUGUGAUAUCAUUCCUAAGAAUGAAGGUUGCAAAGUAAAAUCAUAUUCCCACAGAGGCUGGACCUCUCUAAUAGACAUAUUCUGUGAAGUGGGAGAUAGUUCUAAUUUGCUUUCUCUGUAUGCAAGUUUGUCUGUUCUGGAAACAUACAGUAGGUAAUUUCAUGUUUGGCUUCUCUCACCUAAUCAAUUUUUUGAGGCUAAUCUGUGUUGUAGCAUUUACCAGAACCUCUUUUCCUUUUAUAUAGCUGAGUAAUAUUCCAUUGUAUAGAUACACCACAUUUUGUUUGUCCAUUUAUGAGAUCAUAGACAUAUGGGUUAUUUCUGCCUUUUACCUGUAAGAAAUAGCACUGCUGUAAGUAUUAAUGAACCUGCUUCUGUUGAAACA
Long non-coding RNA from Mesocricetus auratus (golden hamster), 1759 nucleotides. RefSeq lists it as uncharacterized. The record is from RefSeq and is a predicted model, not a curated record. The transcript has 2 exons. NCBI's taxonomy places the organism in Eukaryota, Metazoa, Chordata, Mammalia, Rodentia, Cricetidae.